RNAcentral lists this ribosomal RNA (468 nucleotides) under uncultured bacterium. RNAcentral describes it as "partial 16S ribosomal RNA". It matches the Rfam family "Bacterial small subunit ribosomal RNA", at positions 28 to 507 of the family's 1533-position model. The record is from RNAcentral.
GACGAACGCUGGCGGCGUACUUAACACAUGCAAGUCGAACGGAAAGGCCCUGCUUUUGUGGGGUGCUCGAGUGGCGAACGGGUGAGUAACACGUGAGUAACCUGCCCUUGACUUUUGGAUAACUUCAGGAAACUGGGGCUAAUACCGGAUAGGAGCUCCUGCUGCAUGGUGGGGGUUGGAAAGUUUCGGCGGUUGGGGAUGGACUCGCGGCUUAUCAGCUUGUUGGUGGGGUAGUGGCUUACCAAGGCUUUGACGGGUAGCCGGCCUGAGAGGGUGACCGGCCACAUUGGGACUGAGAUACGGCCCAGACUCCUACGGGAGGCAGCAGUGGGGAAUAUUGCACAAUGGGCGGAAGCCUGAUGCAGCAACGCCGCGUGCGGGAUGACGGCCUUCGGGUUGUAAACCGCUUUCGCCUGUGACGAAGCGUGAGUGACGGUAAUGGGUAAAGAAGCACCGGCUAACUACGUG